Molecule: long non-coding RNA, 5316 nt
Organism: Mesocricetus auratus (golden hamster)
Lineage: Eukaryota; Metazoa; Chordata; Mammalia; Rodentia; Cricetidae
Exons: 2
Source: RefSeq, a predicted model, not a curated record
GACUGGGAAAAAAGGACGUGGAAUUGGGCCCAUUCUCUUUUCAGAGGACUGAAAUUUAAACCCCUACUCUGCCUUUCCAGACCUUGGUGGGCAAGAACAUAUAGUUCUGAUGUCUGAGGGACUCACAUUUGUUGCUUUGUGGUGGUGGGAACUGAAGUUAGGACCUAACGCAUUCUACCACCGAGUUUAUAUUCCCAAGCCAUCUUUUCCUUCCAGAGGAAGACCUUGAUCUUCCUGCCUCUGCCCAUUGACUGAGAUCACAGGCGUCGUUACCUACAAAUGUCCCCUAGUGAGACAUCAUGUAGAAUUCUUCGCAAUACUGGAGACUGAAUCCAUGGUCUUGUGUGUACCAGACAAGCACGCUGCCCACCGGACUACAUCUCCUGCCCAGAAACUCAAACUUUAGCAGGGUUUCUCUGUAUUACUUUGGAGCCUGUCCUGACACUCUGUAGACCAGGCUGGCCUCAACUCACAGAGAUCCAUCUGCCUUAGCCUCUGGUGUGCUGGGAUUAAAGGCUGCACCAUCAAUGCUCCGCCAAAAGCUAACUUAAAAAAGUUAAUAUUUACUAAGCUUCUGGAGUGAGUGUGUGUGUGUGUGUGUGUGUGUGUGUGUGUGUGUGUGUGUGUAUGUGUGUGCAGCCUAGGCUAAUCUUCCUUUCCACCCUCCUGUCAUAGUUUCCCAAGCACUGAGAUGACAUGAAUGGGCCACUAUGCUUUGCUGUGUGCAUCAGACUUUCCUGUAGAUUGGGUGUGGUGGACACACAUGUAAUCCUGGUACUUGGGAGGUGAAGCUCAAGGACGGGGAUUCAAAGUCGGCUGAAUAGUGAGUUUGAGGCCAGCCAGAGUUACAGAAAUGAGAUGACUUCAAAAGCAAAACGAAACAAAACACAUUGAAAAUGUGUCCUAAAUGACUCAGUUGUUUAAUCCUCAUGUUAAUUCCAUCAAAUAAACUCCUAGUACAGGAAAUGAAACUUAGGCAUAGAAAAGUAAAUGGCCCAUACUGUGCAGAGAUACAGCUAGGAGGGUAUAGUCAUUCUGGUUUGAGGCUAAGUAAAUAAGAAAAGUCUUGUGUCACAAUACUGGCAUUAAAUUAAAAACCGAGGUGAGAAAAUUGCCUUAAGUGGAGAGGAGUGAGUCAUUUGAGCACAGAUGCAAGCGUCAAGAGGGAGCCAGCCAUGGACAAAUAUUGAGGAAGAACAUUCCAGGCAGAGUGGCAGAUGCAAAGGCCCUAAGGUAGGAGCAAAUAUGGCAAAAAAAAAAAAAAAGCUUUGAACAAGAGCAGGGAGAGGAGAGGGAACCUGGUAAGGUAAGUGUUGGGCUAGAAACCUUUGCGGGCAGCAGACUGGACCUUACUGAAAGGCAUGGGCAGUGGGGGUGCCUGAGUCUCCGGCUCAGAGAGCAGGUCACUUCCUGGAGCCAGGAUGGUGGGAUGAUGGACAGAAGGGAGAACACACCUGGGGCUCUGGUUUCCCUCUGGCCUGCUUUGGCCCUGGGCAAACAAAGGCUUUUUCUCUCACGCCUGGCACGGCUGACAGCCUACUUGCUACAUUCAUUGCUUGCCCCGAGUUCUAGCCACUCCCAGACUGCCUCCCCCACCCUCUGCCAUUUGCUUUCUUCAGAUUUUCUGUCCUGCUGCCACCCCCUGUCCAGACCUCGCACCUGUGUCUGCCGUGUUGCCCUGGUAGCUUCGGCUGCUGUAGGUGACCAGUUGCAGCUGCCGGUUGAGUCUAUCCAGACCCGGGCUGGCAAGGGUGAGAUCUGGCUGUCCCUCUCCGGUAAGAGUCACUCCUGUCACUUCCCCUGCCACAUCCCAGGUGCCCAGGGAAGCACUCAGGUUCACCUGGCAGAGGGUGAGGGACAGCAGGGUUAGACCCCUACCCAGGGACAGCAGCAGGGUUAGACCCCUACCUGACCCCGCAGAGGGUGAGGGACAGCAGCAGGGUUAGACCCCUACCCAGGCACAGCAGCAGGGUUAGACCCCUACCCCACACCUUGCCCUUUUGACCCUUGAAUCCCUCUGGGUGGCUCUGUCACCCUGCCGGCAUCUGCUGUUCCUCUCACCUGAUACACCUCCUGCACAGAAGCUUCCUGCAGACUCAGCCCUGGGAGGAAGAAUGGAGAGCCAGGAUGAAGACAGCCCUGAGUCUUCCUCAUUUUCUCCCCCUUCCCAUCAUGCACUGCACAGAACCUCAUGCCCAUCUCUCCUGUGGUGACCCAGUACAACACAUCCUGGAGGGAAUGCUGCUGCUGCUUCUUCUUCUUCUUUUUUUUUUUCUGAGACAGGGUGGGACAGAAACAUCUGGCUGUCCUGGAGCUGGCUCUGUAGACCAGGCUGGCCUCGAACUCACACAGAUCCACCUGCCUCUGCCUCUGGAGUGCUGGGAUUAAAGGCACAUGCUCUCCACGGCACACCUUUGCUUUUAACUCCUUUCCAUCAAAGAGACAUUUCUUCCACGGCUUCUCCUGCCUAUCCUGCUAGCCCUUGUUCAGCUGUCAGAGCCGGGAUUCUUCACAAACUUGCCAGGUUUUCUGCCAUUCCGGACAACCCUGGAGUCCCUCUGUCCUCCCCUCCCACCUCCUAAAUUCCCUCAUCAGAGAUGCUCAUCUUCCAAUCCACGCUCCCCUCGCGCUUCCCCAUCCAGCCUCUAGCCUGGCUCACCUGCUAUGACCUUCCUUCCCUACCUGGCACCAAGAUGCUCCUGAGGGGCUGAACCUCCACUCCCUGCAGGGGGUACUGUAAAGGGGAGUUGGCAGGGGCUAUGAGCAGCUGGUCAGCCAGGGACUGGCUCCUGCAAGGGAGGGAAGGACACAGGGGUCAGGAGAGCUCUCUCUUCCCAUGGGUCACAGACUGGCCCCCCAAGACUUUCUGACCCCCGCUCAGCCGCUUCCACAAGACUUUCUGACUGGUACCUUGCAAGGAAGGCCUGGUAUUCCUGCUCCCUGGCGACCAAGACAGCCCUCAGCUCCUCAGUGUCGAAGGCUUUAGUGAGGUCGACAGCUCGAACCUGUGUCUGGAACGGGAAGGGAAAGCUUCCUCCCCUGGACUCACAACUGCAAUUGUUCUGAGUCAGUAGCCUGAAGAGAGGAGACAGGGUCUUCAGAGUUCAGCUACCCAGCUUGGAUUCCUCGACUCUUCCCAUCUGGCGUCUUUCCCCUUAAAAUGCUGCUCUUCAAAUAGCCCCCAAGAGGGGACCAGAGACAAGACAGCUCAUCCCUUGUAUCUGGGCUUUACAGAGGUGUGGAGUCAGUUACUGGGGUGUCUGCUUAGCCGCCACUCAGGAACCCUUCUAAGAAGCAGGCAGCCUCCCGGGGCUCUCCUGCCUGCUCACCCUCCCACACCCCAGUGGCGGUGACAAGGUUUUCAGUAGGAUAGAUUUGCCGCUGCCGCUGCCCGUCUCCCACCGCAUUCCCAGUUUUAGCUCCGGUAAACCUCUCCGCCUCCUGCUUCACUGCCUCCACCAGUCAGCGGGAGAGCAGCAUCCAAGCCCAGCACUGGAAGAAACAAAAGCUCCCAGGCCACCCCCUCCAGCACGCUCUGCUCUGUCGCCAGCCACCUCGCCACCGUCAGCACUCACCCCACCACUUGAUCCUUGAUCUUGACCGGGAUGUGCGCGUAGCGGGGCUCAGGGGCAAGGUCUGGAAGAUCGAGCCUCGGGGAACCUUGUAGGGGUGACCACAGCGCCAGCGGGUUCGGGAGACGGGGUGCGUCUCGGGUGCUGACAUACAGGAGCCCCAGCGAGGCGCAGGCGAGCAGCAGGACUAGCGCAUAGAGGGCCCGGCGGCCCAGCCGCAUCCUGAAAUGGGGGGAAGAUAAGAGGUGACCGGGGGCUGAAGGAAGGUGACGCUCGGGGCUCACGACUCCUCUGCCUUGGAGGGUAGCGCAGGUGUCCGAGGCCACCCAUCUCCGUUCCGCACAGCGCGCAUCCCUUCCCUCAUGGCCCGCGCUGGGGGCUCGAGGCCUCCUUUCUUCCGCCUCUCAGUCACAUCGGAGUUUCCGCACACACCCGAGGCCCCGGCAUUGUGACACGCCACACCUUGGGCGCCUGGCCGGGGUGCCGCGGAGGGGGCCUGUCAGGGAAAGCACAGUGCCUGCGGGUGCCCGACCGAGGUGACCCUCGGGUGGCCUCGGUGCGCCCCGGGGACGACGCGCGGGGCGGGGUGUGCCAGCGCACUGACCUGUCUAACGCUCUAAGGCCGCGGCAAGAUCGCGGUCCGGGCGACGCCCGGCUCUCGGCCCCGGCCGGGGGGUCCUCAUGAGGCCGGAGACGGCCUGAUGCGGGAGCUGGGCGGGAGCCUGACAGUGCGGGGGAUCCGGCUCCUCCUGCCUGCCUGCGGACUCCGGGGCUUUGUAGAGCGCGGCGUAGGGGGGUGGCUCUGGACGUUUCCCGCCUGGGAGAACUGAAUGGAAGAUCCGCCGCGCCCCAGGCCCCGCAACAAAGCUGAGGCGCCCUGGCACCGAGACGCCCUCGCAGGCAGCGGAGGGCUCAGGCCCUCGCCCGGCUCGCACACACGCCGCAGCAGCGCCGCUCCCUGGAUGGAUGCGCCAGAGGCUCCGGCUCUGCGCGGGGAAGGCGGGCGCCGGCGCCUUCUGGCGGGCGCAGAGGAGAUUGCUCAGGCGAGCAGCUGAGCUGGUCUCUCUGGCCCGCAUCCCUUCGCCCCCCGACCGCCGCGGUGUCUCGGUAGCCGGUCCCUGUCCCCGCCAUUUCCCUAUUCGCUCAGCGGGUAGCCUAGCAAAGGCAAGUGGGUGCAGGAGGCAGGGCGGUGUGUGGUCUCACCUCAGUUCAGGGAAAACAGGAGAGGGUAGGAUGGGAUUAAGCCCCGGAGGUAAACACUGCCUAAAUUAACAAAGACGGUCACCUCCCUCCGCCCCUCGUCUCCGAAUUCCCAGUAGUCAAAUGAGGUGGUAAGCUGUUACCGAGUGGCCUACUUCCUCUAACUGCUUCUCGGCACAGACUUGAAAAGGAACCGCAGAAAAUGGUCAGGUGGGAAGUGGUUCUUUUAAACAAGCCAUAAAUGGCUUGAUUACUGAAACUGACCAGGCUAAGUCCUAUGGUUCACAUAAAGGCAAAAUUCAACAGAAAGACAGGUAGAACGUGAUGAAAAAUGUGUAUGGAGGGAAAGGUGGAGAUUAUGAACGAACUUCGUGUGUCCGCUGGGGAAGAAAGGGAAAUUCCACCCUUUUUAAAAUCAAAAUUUCCAGAUCAAAUAUUAAAAUUACAAAAAUUUUAAAAUAAAUCAAGGACUUUUUUGUUUACGGUUGGAAGACCUCCUUAAGACAUAAAGGGAAAUACUAAUAAACCUGCCUAUAUAAAAAUA